AACAUGUCUUUUUGAUAAUAAUUUAAAGUCUAACCUGCCCACUGAUUUAUUUGAAGGGCCGCGGUAUUUUGACUGUGCAAAGGUAGCAUAAUCAUUAGUCUUUUAAUUGAAGGCUUGUAUGAAUGGUUGGAUGAAGUAUUAACUGUCUCAAUUUAAUAAAUAAUAGAAUUUUAUUUUUAAGUUAAAAAGCUUAAAUAAUUUUAAAAGACGAGAAGACCCUAUAGAUCUUUAUAUUUGAUUUUUUAAUAAUUUUUUGGAAUUAAAUUUAUUUUUAAAUUUUGUAAUAUUGAGUUGGGGUGAUUAAAAAAUUUAAUAAACUUUUUUUAGAAAUUUGAACAAUAAUUUUUGAAAAAUUGAUCCAUUUUUUGUGAUUAUAAGAUUAAGUUACCUUAGGGAUAACAGCGUAAUUUUUUUGGAGAGUUCAUAUCGAUAAAAAAGAUUGCGACCUCGAUGUUGAAUUAAAGGUUAAUUUUAGGUGUAGAAGUUUAAAAUUUUGGUC
This 499-nucleotide ribosomal RNA is filed under the name Neochauliodes bowringi. Its description in RNAcentral is "partial large subunit ribosomal RNA". The record is from RNAcentral. Lineage: Eukaryota; Metazoa; Arthropoda; Insecta; Megaloptera; Corydalidae.